Molecule: unclassified non-coding RNA, 328 nt
Filed under: soil metagenome
Description: partial contains 5.8S ribosomal RNA, internal transcribed spacer 2, and large subunit ribosomal RNA
Rfam family: 5.8S ribosomal RNA (bases 1-120)
Source: RNAcentral
GAUGAAGAACGUAGUGAAAUGCGAUAAGUAGUGUGAAUUGCAGAAUUCAGUGAAUCAUCGAAUCUUUGAACGCACAUUGCGCCCCUUGGUAUCCCGAGGGGCAUGCCUGUUCGAGCGUCAUUUCACCACUCAAGCCUGGCUUGGUGUUGAGCGACGUCCCCUUUGGGGACGCGCCUCGAAACGCUCGGCGGCGUGGCACCGGCUUUAAGCGUAGCAGAAUCUUUCGCUUUGGAAGUCGGGGCCCCGUCUGCCGGAAGACCUACUCGCAAGGUUGACCUCGGAUCAGGCAGGGAUACCCGCUGAACUUAAGCAUAUCAAAAGCGGAGGA